Molecule: ribosomal RNA, 281 nt
Filed under: Blautia schinkii
Lineage: Bacteria; Bacillati; Bacillota; Clostridia; Lachnospirales; Lachnospiraceae
Description: partial 16S ribosomal RNA
Rfam family: Bacterial small subunit ribosomal RNA
Source: RNAcentral
UAUGGUAAUGUGGCAGCAGCCGCGGUCAUACGUAGGGGGCAAGCGUUCUCCGGAUUUACUGGGUGUAAAGGGAGCGUAGACGGAUUAGCAAGUCUGAUGUGAAAGGCAGGGGCUCAACCCCUGGACUGCAUUGGAAACUGCCAGUCUUGAGUGCCGGAGAGGUAAGCGGAAUUCCUAGUGUAGCGGUGAAAUGCGUAGAUAUUAGGAGGAACACCAGUGGCGAAGGCGGCUUACUGGACGGCAACUGACGUUGAGGCUCGAAAGCGUGGGGAGCAAACAGG